This 1017-nucleotide ribosomal RNA is filed under the name uncultured bacterium. RNAcentral's name for it is "bacterial SSU rRNA". It matches the Rfam family "Bacterial small subunit ribosomal RNA", at positions 357 to 1376 of the family's 1533-position model. The record is from RNAcentral.
AGGAAUAUUGGUCAAUGGACGCAAGUCUGAACCAGCCAUGCCGCGUGCAGGAAGACGGCUCUAUGAGUUGUAAACUGCUUUUGUACGAGGGUAAACGCUCUUACGUGUAAGAGCCUGAAAGUAUCGUACGAAUAAGGAUCGGCUAACUCCGUGCCAGCAGCCGCGGUAAUACGGAGGAUCCAAGCGUUAUCCGGAUUUAUUGGGUUUAAAGGGUGCGUAGGCGGUUUGAUAAGUUAGAGGUGAAAUACCGGUGCUUAACACCGGAACUGCCUCUAAUACUGUUGAACUAGAGAGUAGUUGCGGUAGGCGGAAUGUAUGGUGUAGCGGUGAAAUGCUUAGAGAUCAUACAGAACACCGAUUGCGAAGGCAGCUUACCAAACUAUAUCUGACGUUGAGGCACGAAAGCGUGGGGAGCAAACAGGAUUAGAUACCCUGGUAGUCCACGCAGUAAACGAUGAUAACUCGCUGUCGGCGAUACACAGUCGGCGGCUAAGCGAAAGCGAUAAGUUAUCCACCUGGGGAGUACGUUCGCAAGAAUGAAACUCAAAGGAAUUGACGGGGGCCCGCACAAGCGGAGGAACAUGUGGUUUAAUUCGAUGAUACGCGAGGAACCUUACCCGGGCUUGAAAGUUACUGACGAUUCUGGAAACAGGAUUUCCCUUCGGGGCAGGAAACUAGGUGCUGCAUGGUUGUCGUCAGCUCGUGCCGUGAGGUGUCGGGUUAAGUCCCAUAACGAGCGCAACCCCUACCGUUAGUUGCCAUCAGGUCAAGCUGGGCACUCUGGCGGGACUGCCGGUGUAAGCCGAGAGGAAGGUGGGGAUGACGUCAAAUCAGCACGGCCCUUACGUCCGGGGCUACACACGUGUUACAAUGGUAGGUACAGAGGGCAGCUACCCAGUGAUGGGAUGCGAAUCUCGAAAGCCUAUCUCAGUUCGGAUCGGAGGCUGAAACCCGCCUCCGUGAAGUUGGAUUCGCUAGUAAUCGCGCAUCAGCCAUGGCGCGGUGAAUACGUUCCCG